AAAUUAGGGAGCCUUAAUACAGCUGCUCCAGUGCAGCUCAGGUUACCUGGAGGAGAUUAGCACAGGUGUGCACUAAAGUUUUGGAGGGAAAUUGCAAGGAGCCUUUGUGGACAAACAGGAAUAUUGGGCAUUGCCUUCUCACUCUGGACACACAUUACCAGGAGAAUAAUACUACCAACCUCUGCAUCAGCCUCAGCAUUACUGCCCCAUCUGGAAGAAGCUUCUAUGAAACGGUAGCCUGCUGUGGAUGUUAGAAGAACCGUAGACUUCCUCCCUUACGGUAUUCAGCUCCAGUGAAUGAAUCACCAGAAGGCACUGCAUCUAGUCAAUCAUAUGGAACACUUGAUGCUGCCUCCGUACUUUAGAAAGAAAUUCUCAUGGAAGUGAGACCUCCACCAUCGUGGGCAUUGGCCUCUACCCCAUCCAGAUACAGGACAUCUGCCUCGACUGGGAGGAGCUGCUAUUAGACAGUAUGAAAAGUUAAUUACUUGCUCCUGCUGUGUUUCGGAAUCCUCCCAUUCUUCUCCGUGCUUGGCCAUGUUAUGGACAUGAGUGCCCUUUUCACUGCAGAAAAGGACAAGGUAGCCUGCUGUGGAUGUUCGAAGAACCAUAGACUUCCUCCCUUACUGUACUCAGCUCCAGUGAAUGAAUCACCAGAAGGCACGGCAUCUAGUCAAUCAUAUGACCACUUGAUGCUGCCUCAUCAAAUUAGACAGAAAUUCUCAUGGAAGUGAGACCACCACCAUCGUGGGCAUUGACCUCUACCCCAUCUAGAUACUGGACAUCUGCCUCGACUGGGAGGAGCUGCUACUAGACAGUAAAGAUACUUUCCUAGAACACUUGAUGCUGCCCCUUCACAUUAGAAAGAAAUUCUCAUAGAAGUGAGACCACCACCAUCUUGGGCAUUGACCUCUACCCCAUCCAGAUGAUGGGCAUCUGCCUCUACUGGGAGGAGCUGCUACUAGACAGUAUGAAAAGUUCAAUUCUUCUGCCUGGUGUGGAUCUAAGAAGAGUCUUAAACAAUGUAUUAUCUUAAGGGGGCUGGCCACAAUAUCCGUAAUUUUAUAAGUGCUGUAAUUGUAAAGUUCUCACUCAUGGUUACUUGUUCCUGCUGUGUUUCAGACUCAGGGAAAUGCAUCGUCCCAUUCUUCUCCGUGCUUGGUCAUGUUAUGGACAUGAGUGCCAUAUUCACUGCAGAAAAGGACAAGAUAGAAAGGAGGCGGGGCUCCUUGUAUAGUGAAAACAGGGCACAGCAGGAGCAAGUAACUGAGUGAUACAACUUUACAAUUACUGCACUUGUUUUUGAAAUGGUCACCCCCUUUAACGUCAUUGAAUCAGCAUAAGACGUGCACCUGGCCGUAAUCUUAUGAUUCUCACUCAGUGGGGACAGUUUGGCAUUUCUGCGAUUACGGUUUUGUGUAGUCGAAAACCAUCAUGUAUAAAGAACAUAAAGACCUGGGUGUGCCAGAUCCUGAUUUGCAAACAUUUUAAAACUUGACUGAC
Hyla sarda is the source of this 1503-nucleotide long non-coding RNA. RefSeq lists it as uncharacterized. The transcript has 11 exons. Lineage: Eukaryota; Metazoa; Chordata; Amphibia; Anura; Hylidae. The record is from RefSeq and is a predicted model, not a curated record.